CUUUGCCUCCUUUCGUCGUCUUCAUCUUGUAAAUAGAAAAAUUGAAGAACUCUCUCCUUUUCUAUAUAUCUCUGUCUCCCCAAAAAAACAAAAACAAGAAUCUAAAUUAGCAACAGUAAUGAUACGUAUGCUUGUUGUUGUGAUUGUUCAAUGUGGAUUUUUGCAAAUCAAUCAGAGGCUGAAGAAUCUUGCGGAAACCCUUUCCUCGCUUCCUAUUCCGUCGCAAAUCGUCGGCAGCUUAAUAUCUAAAGGGAUCACAUUUAUAUAUCGCUCCCUAAUUUCUC
RNAcentral lists this unclassified non-coding RNA (284 nucleotides) under Hevea brasiliensis (rubber tree). Lineage: Eukaryota; Viridiplantae; Streptophyta; Magnoliopsida; Malpighiales; Euphorbiaceae. The record is from RNAcentral.